This 500-nucleotide ribosomal RNA is filed under the name uncultured bacterium. RNAcentral's name for it is "partial 16S ribosomal RNA". It matches the Rfam family "Bacterial small subunit ribosomal RNA", at positions 30 to 523 of the family's 1533-position model. The record is from RNAcentral.
AUUGAACGCUGGCGGCAGGCCUAACACAUGCAAGUCGAGCGGUUGACGGGAGCUUGCUCCCUGAUUCAGCGGCGGACGGGUGAGUAAUGCCUAGGAAUCUGCCUAUUAGUGGGGGACAACGUUUCGAAAGGAACGCUAAUACCGCAUACGUCCUACGGGAGAAAGCAGGGGACCUUCCGGCCUUGCGCUAAUAGAUGAUCGUAGGUCGGAUUAGCUUGUUGGUGAGGUAAUGGCUCACCAAGGCGACGAUCCGUAACUGGUCUGAGAGGAUGAUCAGUCACACUGGAACUGAGACACGGUCCAGACUCCUACGGGAGGCAGCAGUGGGGAAUAUUGGACAAUGGGCGAAAGCCUGAUCCAGCCAUGCCGCGUGUGUGAAGAAGGUCUUCGGAUUGUAAAGCACUUUAAGUUGGGAGGAAGGGUUGUAGAUUAAUACUCUGCAAUUUUGACGUUACCGACAGAAUAAGCACCGGCUAACUCUGUGCCAGCCGCCGCCGUAA